RNAcentral lists this ribosomal RNA (301 nucleotides) under uncultured bacterium. Its description in RNAcentral is "partial 16S ribosomal RNA". It matches the Rfam family "Bacterial small subunit ribosomal RNA", at positions 509 to 807 of the family's 1533-position model. The record is from RNAcentral.
CAGCCGCCGCGGGAACACGGAGGGUGCAAGCGUUAAUCGGAAUUACUGGGCGUAAAGCGUGCGUAGGCGGUUCGUUAAGUCUGUUGUGAAAGCCCCGGGCUCAACCUGGGAAUGGCAAUGGAUACUGGCGAGCUAGAGUGUGUCAGAGGAUGGUGGAAUUCCCGGUGUAGCGGUGAAAUGCGUAGAGAUCGGGAGGAACAUCAGUGGCGAAGGCGGCCAUCUGGGACAACACUGACGCUGAGGCACGAAAGCGUGGGGAGCAAACAGGAUUAGAUACCCCUGUAGUCCCUGUCUCUUAUAC